UCUGUCAGAGCCUCUGGGUGUUUCCGUCGCCAUACAUUACAAACCUCCGUCUGUUCCAAGCAGACAGGAAGGAGGGGCGUCUGAGGGGCCCCCGGCCGGCCAGAGAAGCGGACAUGGCCGCUGCGCCGGAGAGGACUUUUCUCCGGCCACACAAAGCAGAAAUAAAAUGAUCUGUUGAAGUGAGAUCUGGGGACAUGCGGGAGAAACAGAUGCUGCCGGCGCGCUUUGGUGCGCAAAGCUCUCCAAACUCUGCGGCCAGAUUUGCGAAGCUGGGCGGCUGUUCCAGGGAAAUAAAGGUAUGAGGAGCAUCGGACCAACUCCACAGAUUCAGCCAAGAGAAGAACUUUAAAUGUGUUUCCUGUCAAACGUACUACAGGUGUCCCGUGAUUAUAUCUCAUUAAAACGAAUUUAUGCACUUUUGUCUUUUAAAAUGACUGAUCUAAGAGAAAUAAAUGCAAGUUUAAUCAAUGAC
Molecule: long non-coding RNA, 472 nt
Organism: Fundulus heteroclitus (mummichog)
Lineage: Eukaryota; Metazoa; Chordata; Actinopteri; Cyprinodontiformes; Fundulidae
Exons: 2
Source: RefSeq, a predicted model, not a curated record